CCUACGGGAGGCAGCAGUGGGGAAUAUUGGGCAAUGGGCGCAAGCCUGACCCAGCAACGCCGCGUGAAGGAAGAAGGCUUUCGGGUUGUAAACUUCUUUUGUCAGGGAAGAGUAGAAGCCGUUACCUGACGAAUAAGCCACGGCUAACUACGUGCCAGCCGCCGCGGUAAUACGGAGGUGGCAAGCGUUGUCCGGAUUUACUGGGUGUAAAGGGCGUGUAGGCGGAAUGCCAAGUCAGCGGUAAAAUCCCGGGGCUCAACCUCGCUCCGCCGUUGAAACUGGCGUUCUUGAGUGUGCGAGAAGUAUGCGGAAUGCGUGGUGUAGUGGUGAAAUGCAUAGAUAUCACGCAGAACUCCGAUUGCGAAGGCAGCAUACCGGCGCCCAACUGACGCUGAAGCACGAAAGCGUGGGUAUCGAACAGGAUUAGAUACCCGAGUAGUC
This 441-nucleotide ribosomal RNA is filed under the name uncultured bacterium. RNAcentral's name for it is "partial 16S ribosomal RNA". It matches the Rfam family "Bacterial small subunit ribosomal RNA", at positions 338 to 795 of the family's 1533-position model. The record is from RNAcentral.